GUUGAGGGGAAUGCUGUCUGGUUCGAGACCAUUCAGUUGAAGCAUUUGCAUCCAAAAGAGCAGCUUUCUUGAAUGAUCUCGGACCAGGCUUCAUUCCCCCCAAC
RNAcentral lists this microRNA precursor (104 nucleotides) under Jatropha curcas. RNAcentral describes it as "mir-166 microRNA precursor family". It matches the Rfam family "mir-166 microRNA precursor family". From Rfam's summary of the family: This family represents the plant microRNA (miRNA) precursor mir-166. Animal miRNAs are transcribed as ~70nt precursors and subsequently processed by the Dicer enzyme to give a ~22nt product. In plants the precursor sequences may be longer, and the carpel factory (caf) enzyme appears to be involved in processing. The record is from Rfam by way of RNAcentral. Lineage: Eukaryota; Viridiplantae; Streptophyta; Magnoliopsida; Malpighiales; Euphorbiaceae.